Molecule: unclassified non-coding RNA, 280 nt
Filed under: Hevea brasiliensis (rubber tree)
Lineage: Eukaryota; Viridiplantae; Streptophyta; Magnoliopsida; Malpighiales; Euphorbiaceae
Source: RNAcentral
GAGUUGUGGUCUUGGUCUAAUGGUUUGGGUGAAGAUUCUGUGGCAAAAUUUCCUAAGCUACGUGAGCUUCGAAUAGUAUAUUGUCCCAAGUUGGUUGGAAAAUUGCCAUCUUUCCUUCCUUCCUUGGAAAAAGUUGAUAUUUGUGAUUGCCAGCUGUUAGUUGAUUUACCAAAAGUACUUCCAUCUCUUCUAACACUCUCUAUCAGUAGAUGUCAAGAGAGUGUGCUCAGGAGUGUGUGUAAUGCCACCUCUCUCACUACCUUAAAAAUUGAAGGUGUGU